UUACGGCUACAUCACUUUGAAACAGCAGUCCCCGUACGAUCGCCGAAGGUAAGCAACGUCGAGCCUGAUCUGUACCUAAAUGGGUGACCACUUAAGAAUACCAAGGGUUGUAA
This is a non-coding RNA of Acanthosepion pharaonis, 113 nucleotides long. The record is from the annotation of a GenBank genome assembly. NCBI's taxonomy places the organism in Eukaryota, Metazoa, Mollusca, Cephalopoda, Sepiida, Sepiidae.